CCAAUAGCGUAUAUUAAAGUUGUUGCAGUUAAAAAGCUCGUAGUUGAAUUUCGGGAUCAAUAUUUCGGUCAUGCCGUUGGUAUGCACUGUUAUUAUUGAUUUCUCACCUUCUAAAGAACCGUAAUGCCAUUAAUUUGGUGUUACGGGGAAUUAGGACUGUUACCUUGAAAAAAUUAGAGUGUUUAAAGCAGGCUCACGCUUGAAUACAUUAGCAUGGAAUAAUGAAAUAGGACAUCCGAUUCUAUUUUGUUGGUUUCUAGGAUCGAUGUAAUGAUUAAUAGGGAUAGUUGGGGGCAUUAGUAUUCAAUUGUCAGAGGUGAAAUUCUUGGAUUUAUUGAAGACUAACUACUGCGAAAGCAUUUGCCAAGGAUGUUUUCAUUAAUCAAGAACGAAAGUUAGGGGAUCGAAGACGAUCAGAUACCGUCGUAGUCUUAACCAUAAACUAUGCCGACUAGGGAUCGGAUGAUGUUAAUUUUUUAAUGACUCAUUCGGCGCCUUACG
Molecule: ribosomal RNA, 501 nt
Filed under: uncultured Glomeromycotina
Lineage: Eukaryota; Fungi; Glomeromycota
Description: partial small subunit ribosomal RNA
Rfam family: Eukaryotic small subunit ribosomal RNA
Source: RNAcentral